ACGACUACAUUAGAUACCCCGGUAGUCCCAGCCCUAAACGAUGCGCGUUAGGUGUAUCGGUGACCACGAGUCACCGAGGUGCCGAAGGGAAACCGUGAAACGUGCCGCCUGGGAAGUACGGUCGCAAGGCUGAAACUUGAAGGAAUUGGCGGGGAGCACCACAACGGGUGGAGCCUGCGGUUUAAUUGGACUCAACGCCGGGAAGCUCACCGGAUAAGACAGCGGAAUGAUUGCCGGGCUGAAGACCCUGCAUGACCAGCUG
This 262-nucleotide ribosomal RNA is filed under the name uncultured archaeon. RNAcentral's name for it is "partial 16S ribosomal RNA". It matches the Rfam family "Archaeal small subunit ribosomal RNA", at positions 719 to 982 of the family's 1478-position model. The record is from RNAcentral.